UAGGGAAUCUUCCACAAUGGACGCAAGUCUGAUGGAGCAACGCCGCGUGAGUGAAGAAGGUUUUCGGAUCGUAAAGCUCUGUUGUUGGUGAAGAAGGAUAGAGGCAGUAACUGGCCUUUAUUUGACGGUAAUCAACCAGAAAGUCACGGCUAACUACGUGCCAGCAGCCGCGGUAAUACGUAGGUGGCAAGCGUUGUCCGGAUUUAUUGGGCGUAAAGCGAGCGCAGGCGGAAUGAUAAGUCUGAUGUGAAAGCCCACGGCUCAACCGUGGAACUGCAUCGGAAACUGUCAUUCUUGAGUGCAGAAGAGGAGAGUGGAACUCCAUGUGUAGCGGUGGAAUGCGUAGAUAUAUGGAAGAACACCAGUGGCGAAGGCGGCUCUCUGGUCUGCAACUGACGCUGAGGCUCGAAAGCAUGGGUAGCGAACAGGAUUAGAUACCCUGGUAGUCCAUGCCGUAAACGAUGAGCGCUAGGUGUUGGGGACUUUCCGGUCCUCAGUGCCGCAGCAAACGCAUUAAGCGCUCCGCCUGGGGAGUACGACCGCAAGGUUGAAAC
Molecule: ribosomal RNA, 554 nt
Filed under: uncultured bacterium
Lineage: Bacteria
Description: partial 16S ribosomal RNA
Rfam family: Bacterial small subunit ribosomal RNA
Source: RNAcentral